This 888-nucleotide long non-coding RNA is filed under the name Gallus gallus (chicken). RNAcentral describes it as "lncRNA (ENSGALG00010020563.1)". The record is from RNAcentral. Lineage: Eukaryota; Metazoa; Chordata; Aves; Galliformes; Phasianidae.
GUGAGUGCACACAGGGCAGUUGGAUCUGAAUAGAGCUCUGGUAAUGAAAGAGUCGCAAAGAUAUAUGAUUCUGGGGUGUAGAUGUCAUUGCUCCCACAGCCUGAGUACAUCUACACCUUCAGUCGUGCAACUAAGGUGACGUGCAGGGAAUUUUAUUCCUGUACUCCCCAGUGUUGGGGCUCCCAACAGGAUUUCCUUGCUAAACAAUGUCAAACUGAGGCAGGCAUGGGAUGAAAGUCCUCACAGAAGCAUGUGAGGUGGUGCCAAAUGUUUUACAGGUGAUGGUGUUGUUGUUUGUGAGCAAGAGCGGAGGUGGUGCUGGGAAGGGUGUGAUGCUGUGCUGGCUCAGAUGAGCUAGGAAAACCAGGUCAUUAGGGAUGCUGGGCUGCUCUGUGUUCAAGAAGAGCUGUGUGUUUGGCAGCAUAAGGAAGGUUUCAAAGCUAAGCUGCAUGCACAGCUCCACAGCCUCGCCUGGACUUUCUUCUUAAAGAUCUGGAAGCUUCGUGCAAAGCAUCAUUUUUCAAAGGAGUCAGUGUCUCACCACCAUUCAGGUACCUGGUGGUCCCCAGUCUCACCCAGAUGCUUGCUGAACCAUUUGUCCUUGGGGAUCACUGCAGAACUCUGGCAGCCCAAUGCAGAACUCUUCCUCACUGACCCUGCCACGCAGGACAAGGAGUGGCAGAGAGCCCUGACUGCAGCAGCUCUGCCUAUGGGACUGCACAGCAGAACUGCAGUUUCUCCCUCGGCUUCUCCAGUUUGGCUAUGCACAAAUUACUUUGUCAUUGUGGUGAAACAAAUAAGGCUUCAUUAUCAUUACCAUCCUGACGGGAGUAAACAAGUUUAUUUACACUUGAGCACUACUGAAGAAUAAAGUCAUAGAGGAAAGUU